AUGCUACUCAAUUCGUACGUGGGGUCGAGGGUGACGGCACGGGAGCUUUGGUGCUGUCCUGCCGGCAUUGGGUUUCCAGGAGCUGUCACUGCUUGCUACGUGGGGUUUCCAGGAUCGUUGAUUACCACCAUUGCCCGGUUGAGCACUACCGUUCAGCUCUGUGCAUUCCUUGACAUUUGGCAGCUUCUGCAGACCGCCGAUAUUGACCCCUCCCGUCGAGACUCCAUCCGCUGGAACUGGACGGGUUCAGGGGAGUACUCCACCAAGUCUGCCUACCAUAUGCAGUUCUGUGGUCGUCUGGUGCCUUUCCGCUCUACUAAUGUUUGGAAAGGACAGGACACCCCCAAAUGCAAGCUCUUCGACAGGCUUGUCCUGCAUGGAAGAAUCCUCACGGCCGAAAACAUGGUAAUUCGUGUUGGCCACAUAGUUCGACGUGCCGCCUUUGCAUGGCAUCCGAUGAGACUGUCGCUCAUCUCUGCAGAGAUUGCCCCUUCUCGCAGGCGGUGUAGAGGACAGUCAAUUCCGCCGAUGGAACACCUGACGCGAGCCCAUCGGAUGAUCCAAGCUCCAUCAACACGUGGUGGGAGGGCUUCCUUGCCGGUGUUCCAGCUCGGAACGUGCGGGAGCUUAGAGGUGCCAUGA
This 642-nucleotide ribosomal RNA is filed under the name Triticum aestivum (bread wheat). RNAcentral's name for it is "partial small subunit ribosomal RNA". Lineage: Eukaryota; Viridiplantae; Streptophyta; Magnoliopsida; Poales; Poaceae. The record is from RNAcentral.